UACGGGGGGGGCAAGCGUUGUUCGGAAUUACUGGGCGUAAAGGGCUCGUAGGCGGCCAACUAAGUCAGACGUGAAAUCCCUCGGCUUAACUGGGGAACUGCGUCUGAUACUGGCAAGCUUGAGUGCAGGAGAGGAACGCGGAAUUCCAGGUGUAGCGGUGAAAUGCGUAGAUAUCUGGAGGAACACCGGUGGCGAAGGCGGCGUUCUGGACUGCAACUGACACUGAGAGACGAAAGCCAGGGGAGCAAACGGG
RNAcentral lists this ribosomal RNA (253 nucleotides) under uncultured bacterium. RNAcentral describes it as "partial 16S ribosomal RNA". It matches the Rfam family "Bacterial small subunit ribosomal RNA", at positions 524 to 776 of the family's 1533-position model. The record is from RNAcentral.